Non-coding RNA from Vicugna pacos (alpaca), 1248 nucleotides. NCBI's taxonomy places the organism in Eukaryota, Metazoa, Chordata, Mammalia, Artiodactyla, Camelidae. The record is from RefSeq and is a predicted model, not a curated record.
GUUGGGGUCCCGAGUGUGGUAGAUUCAGACCACACUUCCCAUCCCAGAGCUUCUUCUCUCUGAAAUUCAGACCCUGUGGCUCUAAAUCAGGGGCACAGAACUGAAUCAAAGUUUGCAGACUUAACUGGCUGCAGCUAUUUUCCAUUAAGUGCAAGGAACUAUGCAAAGCUCUUUCCAGACAGUGCCUCAUUUCAUCCUUCCAACAAUGCUACGAGGGGAAGUCUAGUAUUUCCUCGAUGGUACUACAGACCUGUAGUACAAGGUUUGAAAUACAAAAAGUUGAGGAAAGAUACAAUUCACUCAGACUGCAGGAACUGGCUCAGGAUGAGCUCUGGCACCCUGUGCAAUGCUGACGUCCUGAAUUUAGCCCUGAGGCUCUUGCAUCUGGCCUGUGCCCCAGUGCACAGUCACCGCGGAGCAGCACUCUCUCAGCAAAGGCCCUACUGUGUGCCUUUGUGGGGGUGAAUUUAAACGCAUGAGGAGAAGGGCCUAUUACAGGAUGGAAAAUAUAGCUUAGGAACCUUUCCACUGCGGUACACGUGGGCAUUCUUGCAGACGCUAUAUAGAUAUAGCAAUAAACAUUUAUUGAGCACCUGCGGUGUGCACUGCACUUUGCUAGAUGCCCAAGGGUUAUUCUUUUAUUUUUUUCUGCUUCCCUUUUAGAAGAGAUAUCCUACCAACUGACUAAAGCCCCUUAGAGCCAUCUCGUGCACACACAAAGCCCUCAGGAUUAACGUGGCUGAUUCUAGCUGUGCUGGUGACUGAUUGCCGUAAUCUUCCGAGAGGCUCGCGGGAGCUCUCUCAUGAGCGCCUGCUGUUGGCAGAGGUGAAAAUGUUUUUCCUCUUAGGAUUCUCCGCUUCUCUUGGAUUUCUCAUAGAGACGGGAAAACCCGGGGUUUACAGGGUAAACCCUCUCCUCUUUACCCAGGGCAUCUGCCCUGCUCCCCAUCACCUGAGCUGUCCCCAUAAACAUGUGAACCACACGAUAAGCACACGGGGUCACAGCACAUGGGCCAUUUCACCGCCGUGUGGCCGACAGCAGGGCUUGGGAGGAGGGCGCGAGGUCUGCUGGAGGAUCUGCUAUUUUCUCUGCCUGGCUCACAUCAACGGUUUACAGCUGGGGUAUGUUUCUGAGCUCCUGGCAGCAUUUCCUCUACAUCUGGGGUCAAAUGUUAACAGAGACUCCAUGAAAACAAACCAUAACCCUGGGUUUAGCCUGCCAUGCUUCAUUUCAGAGAACCCAGGGUC